UACAGAGGGGGCAAGCGUUGUUCGGAAUUACUGGGCGUAAAGGGCGCGUAGGCGGCCUGUUAAGUCGAACGUGAAAUCCCCGGGCUCAACCCGGGAACUGCGUCCGAUACUGGCAGGCUUGAAUUCGGGAGAGGGAUGUGGAAUUCCAGGUGUAGCGGUGAAAUGCGUAGAUAUCUGGAGGAACACCGGUGGCGAAGGCGGCAUCCUGGACCGAUAUUGAUGCUGAUGCGCGAAAGCCAGGGGAGACAAACGGGAU
RNAcentral lists this ribosomal RNA (256 nucleotides) under uncultured bacterium. RNAcentral's name for it is "partial 16S ribosomal RNA". It matches the Rfam family "Bacterial small subunit ribosomal RNA", at positions 524 to 778 of the family's 1533-position model. The record is from RNAcentral.